Molecule: ribosomal RNA, 380 nt
Filed under: uncultured eukaryote
Lineage: Eukaryota
Description: partial 18S ribosomal RNA
Rfam family: Eukaryotic small subunit ribosomal RNA
Source: RNAcentral
CAAUAGCGUAUAUUAAAGUUGUUGCAGUUAAAACGCUCGUAGUCGGAUUUCGGGGCGGGUCCGCCGGUCUGCCGAUGGGUACGCACUGGCGGGCGCGUCCUUCCUUCCGGAGACUGGCCCUACUCUUAGCUGAGCGGGGUCGGGAGUCGGAUCGUUUACUUUGAAAAAAUCAGAGUGUUUCAAGCAGGCAGCUCGCUCUUGCAUGGAUUAGCAUGGGAUAAUAAAAUAGGACUUUGGUGCUAUUUUGUUGGUUUCGAACACCGAAGUAAUGAUUAACAGGGACAGUCAGGGGCACUCGUAUUCCGCCGAGAGAGGUGAAAUUCUCAGACCAGCGGAAGACGAACCACUGCGAAAGCAUUUGCCAGGGAUGUUUNCACUGA